Molecule: RNA transcript, 1880 nt
Organism: Pyrus x bretschneideri (Chinese white pear)
Lineage: Eukaryota; Viridiplantae; Streptophyta; Magnoliopsida; Rosales; Rosaceae
Exons: 6
Source: RefSeq, a predicted model, not a curated record
UAUCAUCGUUCAUCACCAACUCAGCUCUCUCUCUCUCCUCUCUCUCUCUCUCUCUCUCUCUUUCUCAAAUGGGUUCGAGCAGCAGUCGACUGGGCUCGCGCCCAUCUCGGCCCCAAGUCAAUCGCACCGCCAGUCGUUCCAUACUCUCCUCUUUCGUCUGCGGUGGCUCCUCCGCACGUGCUACUCAAGAGAUGGAAGAUCACUGCAGCUGUGUGUCUUGUGAAAUGUGCAGAGCAAUCUGAUCGUGAUAUCAAUCAAGUCCAGAACUCCGGAGAGGGAACCUUGUUGGUCUCCAGUACUGGAUCACCGUUCACCUGCCCCGUUAUUGAAAUUGGAUCAUCAUCUGAGCGCAUUGUUGAAGAAGGUUUAAGCAGUGUUGACACAAGUAACCAGGGGAAGUGCUUGUCCAAAAGUAAAGAACUAAUUCCUCAUCAGGUAAGUGCUGAAUAUAGUCACGACCAAUCUUGUAUGGAUAAUAGUCCUACAGCUAGUACUUCGUUUAGACAACAACAAUCUUCAGAAACAGUCUCUUUGAAUCGCUCGGCUAAUGUGGAUGCGGUCAAUGGCAUUGACAUUUCAGCAGACAAGAAUGUAUCUCAGACCUGUCCUGAGGUUAUGUGUCCAAGUAGUUCGUCUCCACAAGGGAUGCGGAAUUCCCGUUCUCAGGAAGUGUCUGUUGAGAAUCAUGUGGCUGACGUAAGGGGUGUGCAAAGUUCAAAUGCUGAUACUGAUUCUGCUAAUGUUUCUGAAAUUCCAUCAUCUUUUGACUCACGUGGAAAUGAUUCUCUACGGGAGGCAAUACCUUCUGGUUUGGGAUUCCUUGUGUCCAAUAGGGAACAAGGCCAGGAAGAUGGAAGUGUACUUCAUGUUGACGUUAUGAGCAUUUCUUCCAACUUUUUGAGGAGUAGCAAUGCUGAUGCAAGUAAUCGUGAGGCUAGAAGGAAUGGCAGGCGACUGUUCUGGGAUGCAUUUUCAAGGCGCAGCUCCAGGAGAUUCAUUGAUUCACCAACCAUUCUUUUCUCUACUGAUGAUACUGAGGAUAUGGGAUCUCAUGACAGAUGGCUACUUGGUUUGAGUGGUGAUUUAUUUGAUGAUGGGAUUGGAGCUGAUUCUGGUCACCGGGCCAGUAGAAUUCCCUACUCGAAUGAACGACGACGACAUUCUAGAUCUGAGGUCUGGGAAAGACUUCGUGUUGGCCUUGAUGAUAAUGGCCAGCGUAAUACCUCUUGUCCCACAGGAAUCCACCCUCGUGGCAUGUGUUCAUGUGGCUCAUUCUCGACGACCGAAGAGUCUAGUACUCGGGCAAGUAUAUCAAGAAUUGUCAUGCUCGCUGAAGCUCUAUUUGAGGUUUUGGAUGAAAUUCACCGCCAACCUGUGUCACUUUCACUAUCGAUGGUCUCGGCUCCUGCCCCAGCAUCUGUUGUUGAUGGUUUUCCUCUUAAAAGUCACACAAAGGUUGACAAAUCAAAGUCCGGGGAUGAUGCUGAGCAGUGUUACAUAUGCCUCGCUGAGUAUGAGGAAGGAGACAAAAUUCGAGUUCUUCCCUGCCAUCACGAGUAUCACAUGUCCUGCGUUGACAAGUGGCUCAAAGAGAUACACGGGGUUUGCCCACUUUGCCGAGGAGAUGUUCGUGAGGGUUUCACCGACUGUUCUGUCUCUAACUCAGAGAUAUCUUCUCUUUGAUUUAAUUGUACAUACUACACAAUAAUGUAAAUGGUUAAAGAUGGUUCUUCGCAUCUGCCACGACAUGUAUUUUGUCCCCCAAUGCUAACUUGUAUCUGAAAUUUUCCGAAAUCCAUGAUAUUGUAGCGUCUUCCACUCUCGAUGCGGAAUUGUAGUACUUAUAUAAUGAUUGAGAAAAUGAGAUAUUUAUACAUCAA